RNAcentral lists this transfer RNA (82 nucleotides) under Spirochaetes bacterium GWF1_51_8. RNAcentral describes it as "tRNA-Leu". It matches the Rfam family "tRNA". Rfam says of the family: Transfer RNA (tRNA) molecules are approximately 80 nucleotides in length. Their secondary structure includes four short double-helical elements and three loops (D, anti-codon, and T loops). The record is from RNAcentral. Lineage: Bacteria; Pseudomonadati; Spirochaetota.
GCGAGAGUGGCGGAAUUGGCAGACGCGCUAGACUUAGGAUCUAGUACCGAAAGGUGUGCGGGUUCAAGUCCCGCUUCUCGCA